AUCGGUACGUUGACCUCUGGUGCCCUCUCGGGACAUGAGGCUCUGAAUUGCCCCUGUAGGAGAACAAAAGGUCCAUGUUGAAAAUCUGUUUUCUAUUUCAUCAAAAGUCUCCCUCAUUUCUGUCCACAGAACGUGGCCCGAGAGAAGGGUUAGAAGUCUUCAUAUUUGUUAGGUCUAGUCCCCCAGCCCUAUUCAAAAACAUGUAAUGUAAGGCUAAAUGAGUGAAUGGUGAACUGUUCAGGUUGUACCCCAUCGUUAUCCAAAGACUGCUGUAAUUGGCUAAAGCUUCCAGCGACUCUGUAAAGGACUCAAGAGGUAGAAGAUGAAGAUAUCCACCUGCUCAACCUUUGCUGUCCCUCUGAUCUUCAUUUCCCAUUCACCCUACUCCAUGGUGGAACUCCUGUCAGUUCUACAGAUUGUACUAGAAUCACAUUUAGGGCCAAAUCACUAACAUUAUGUUAUAAUAAUUUAGAAUUGCAGACAGAACUGACUAGCACUUACACUUAUUCUUCCAUGUGUGUGAGAGCUGCUCUUUCAAAAAUGUAAUGUGAUUUAUCUGUAUUGAGACUAACUGCUAACAGGACACGUUUACACAUGACGUUCAACAUCAUGUUUUUACGUAAUCUUGUCUUGUUUUCUUUUCUUCUUCUCCAGAACAGAGAGCCUUCAUUGUGUUUCAAAACUGCGUCGUCAUCGAUCUACAAACAUAUCAGAAAAGUAUCCCCCGUAAAUAUGAACCACUGUCUUGCUUUGAGAAACCCUGCAAUGAUAGAAUCAUUGCAAUCAUUUCAAGUUCAUCGAAAUAUAUACUUGUGAAAGCAUUUUUAUCUAGAGGUAAAUAUGUUGUUUUUUGUAGGAAAGAAAAAAAACUGUACUCUCUGUCUCUCUCACUCUCUUUUUGUUUAGCACUCAUGCCCUUUGUAAACUUUGUGCUGUACAUUUGCACUAUCAAUGACACUUCAACCAAGGUGGCUGUAUUUGGACUGGAUGUCCUUUCAUGAUGACAAAUGUAGGAAUAUUUAGUGAGUUGCUAAAAUAAAUUGUAUUUUAUCUACACUGGGGCUCUUAUUUUUUCACUUUGAUUUUGUUUAUUUAUGAACCUGCUGAUACUGAUACUUCUAACUUUUUUUGGUAACGUUACAUUGUGCAUAAUAAAAAACAAAAGUGUGAUAAACCAUUAAAAUCAUCCAACAUGGUGGCCAUCUUAGAAAAGCUCUACUUUUAUUGCAAAUUUUAAAAAGAACUAACCUUUCUUAAAUGACCACCAGGUGAGUGUACACUAACAUUCUGAAUUUCUUUUUCUGAAUUAAAAGUUAAUAUGAAUAAAAACGCUUACCUCACUCUGUCUUACAUAGUAUAAUAAUUACCUAAAUAAAUUAAAUACAAUUAAAACAAAGUUUAACAACAGUUGAUUGACAGACAACAAGAAGAAAAGAAGAAGAAGAGUUGGGUGUGGCCCCGUGCCUUCCGGAAGAGCAGUGACGUCUGCUUAGCAUAAUUUAGCCACAGCGUGUCAGGUGAAUCAAGUUAAACCCUAAAACGCUUUUUUAAAAUAAAGGUAAUACUUGGCGCGGACAAAUUAGAGCUGACAGUGGAUUACAAAAGCUAUAAACUGAAGGAAGAAUUCCAGAGACAAAAAAUGGCAGCUGGAAAUAACACUUCAUACAACCUCAGUGGAAGAGAAACGUUGGACUUACGUUGAAAAUGUUACAAAGCUGACUGUGAUAAUUAGAGCGCUGUGACCUUCUCAUUAGAGCCAGGAGUCUGCUCAUCCCUUUAUCCUUCAGAAAUGACGAUGGUUACAGAGCCAACAUCAUGAUAGUCCACAUCUCCUCAGACUAACCUCCAUCAGGAGGCCACAGCCGUCCAUGUCUCGCUGUUCCACAAUAGUCUUCAGACUUCCGUUUGAGCUCCAUCUCUGUCGUGGCUAAGUGUCAUGUGAAGAGACAGGUAAAGGUGUGAACUACAGUCACUGCACGUGAACGGAGGAAAGUGCAUCCAAAGCCUCCAGGAAGGUGCUGGAGCUGCUGCAACUCAUUAUCCAACAGCUAUAUAACAUAAGUUAACAUUUUCUUUGUGUUCAGGGACACCACAGCAAUUAGCUAACGAGUGGGUCAUCCAUUAACCAGGCCUGUGGCCCUGUGAGAGAUAUAAGCCUCCGGGGCAACACUCAACAAUUCUCUGUAAUAGAAUAGAAUAGAGGGAGAGAGAGGGAGAAAAAGAAAGACGAAGAAACAGAGAGAGACGAAGUCCAUUAGUAAACAUUUAGGUAAUCAGUGUGAAGGCAGGUCUCUGUGGAUACUUUUACUGCUGAUUAUCAACACCCUGCACUUAUUGUUUUUCCCUUUUUCCUCCUUCUUCCUUGUGAUUUCCACUUGUUCUGCCGUCUUUUGUUGGCUCUCAUAGAAAUUACUGGAGAUCUCAUAUAUAGCAUUGUAUAAUCCCUGACUAUGCUAAUAGUUUAAUAUCGAGUGCUAGCUAGUUUGUAAUCUCAAAAAUACUCAACCAUACAACUUUUCCAGCUGUAUGUUUCGGUUCUGGCUUCCUGGCUUUGGUUUGUUUUUCGCCUUAAACUGAAGAUGUUCACAAAGAAUAGGCUGCACUGUUGGACCUUGAUCUCCACCGGGGUGAUCCAGCAUGGACGGCCCUUUGAAAUUGUUUACUCCUGAAUAAAUACUUUAUGCAGCAUGCCUUUUUUUUCUGAUGAAAUAAUUCAUUGGACGCACAAACAUUUGUAAUAGCUAACCAGCUCCUCACAACAGUGUUAGGCUAAGACUCAAGGCUGAUCAAUAGAGGCCUUAGGGGUUUUAUUUUCUGUUCCUUGAUCAAGGCUGUCAGAUUAGUAUAGGUACAGUGCAAAUAGGGCUGCUGCUUGGGCAGAGGCAACACAGGUUGGAACAUCGCAGCCUCAUUAAUAUGAUUAAGAAAACAGCCUUCGGGCAGUGAGGAUGCAGAGCAGCCCACAUCGAGACUCAUCGGAUAGCAACAACGGUACAGCGGCACAAUGGCACAGUGUCGGCUCACUCUUCAUGGCCGCGUGUCAGAAAAUCAACAAACUCUGAACGCAAUGUAUAACCAGCCCACACAGUAGCGACAAUGACCCCGAGUUAGAUUUUACAUCAACCCAUAAUUGGCUGAUGUUGCUGAAUUUGAGAAACUCAGGCAGUUUUGCAAUUGCUUAAUAAUCUUGUAUAUGAGUUUAAUGAUUUUGGAUGUUUUCUUUAGUUGUUAUCUAUAUUUACUUAAAGCUUCUUGGCAGUUUUGUCUUUGCCUCACUUAGCAGUAUGUCUGUGUCACAAUAUGACACAAUGCAUCACAGUGUCAUCAGUGGAUUAGAUAAAAACAUUAUACCAAAUUAGAGUUUAUAUAUGCAUUCUCAGGUAACUGUGUUAAUUAGGGUGGAAUAUAAGAGAAAAUAUAACCAGGAUGAAUUAUGCUUCUUUUCUUCUGUUUCAUUUCAAACCGUUUUAGUUCAGAAAUUCCUCAGACGGCAUUUGAGAUUUUUCUUCCUCUGGGCGACUGUCAUCCUGUGAAAAAUUAUCACUGCUCUGUGUGUCAUAAGCCAGAAAAGAUAGUGACACUUCUACUGAUCUAUUCAUCUUUUAGUGCUGAUGACAUGUCUCCGGCUUGGCUUCGAAAACAGGUUGUCACCUCCUGGAUGCAGCAGACAACACCAGUGUUAUUAGUAUGUGUUCCAUAUUCAGCAGAAGAGGUGAAAGUGAAAACAGGCUCCACUUGUUAAAGUCAACUUCAGACGACUGGAUCGCCACCCGCUCUCCAUCCAUUCGGCAUUGGAGGUCGUCAGACGACGUGAAGGCUAAGCGUCUCUAACAGAAGCUGGACCCACUGCUGCCACCCACAGAGACAUCACACUGCAUCGGCUAAAUUAGUAUUAUGAUUUUAAUGGAUAAAUGCCCGUUCCACCUAAUUAAUCCAACACAUCACAGGGGGACGUGACACCAUGAGCCCCAUAGAUCAAGGAGCACAGAUCAAAGGCUCAGCCACUGUUAGAAUUCUACACAGGCAAGAGGAAGGUUUCUUGUUUAUUUUCGAUGUACAGAUGGCCUCUGAACUAAUGACUAAAGAAUAUGGCAAUGUGGCGAAAAAUUUGUUUAUUGCUUGUUGACUAAAUGAUGCUGCAACUUUGCUUUGCCAAUAAGCAUGUCUAAUUAGGCAGUGGGCUUCCAAACGUCCACAUCCACGACUUUGAAGCUUGUUGAAAUGAAUGCCUUGUCUGGGGAAAAACAUCCUUCUGCCAUUAGCACCGUGUGAGAUUUAAGUGUGUGUUUUUGAGUUAAAACUUGAAGUUAUCGACACGAUAACGAUAAGUGAAGUAAAACCACCCUGGUUUUUUGAAACAUUUUUUUAAAGGCAUUGUGUUAAAACCUGUUUCAUCCAGCCUGUGCAUCAGAACGCCGACGGUCAGUUUAGUAGACAAUUAAAAGUUGCUUGUUGAUUCACAUAUUUAAAAAGUUUUGCCACAGAGGCGGAAUAUUAUUUUGAAAGCAGCGGAUGAAUCUACAUUUUUAAUCGUAUGACAUUUUCAUUUUAGUUUUUUUUUAAGUGUGUCCUGUCUGGUACAUCUCAUACACUGACGAGUAAAUAAAAGAAGUCCAAACACAUGUUAUAAAUGCUCAAACCCAGAAUGGUUCUCGGACAUCUUAUUAUGUUUUAUAACAGUCACACACAUGCACACGCACAUGCACUCUCUCUCCCUCCCCCUCUCCCCCUCUCUCUCCCUCUUUUGCUCCCUCUCUGGCCCGUCCGCAGCCUGACAUAAGAAAAGCAGCUCACUGGGCCCUGUCUUUAUUUAACACACUGGCUGUGCUUUGAAAAAAUGUCAGUGUUCUGCCAAGUUUACCACAUAUUCACUGUUUACUGAUGGCUGUUACACAUGUGGUUUUUGCAUAUGCUCUCCUCUCCCACUUAAAUCAUCUGUGGUCCCUGGGCUUUCUUUUGACAUGUGCAGCGUUGGUGCUGCCACUGCAGCUUAAAUUUUUCAAGCAAAGAAAAAGGCUCUUGUAUGAAAUAAUAAUGGCCAUUUAUGUUUUUUUCUGCUUCUGAAUGUCAUCACUACUUGUUUUUCUCUCUGUCACCAAAACCUUCUUUGCACUUUUCCAUUAUAAAAACCUUCAGAUAUUUAUGAUCAUCUGUUUUUGUUUUAUUUUACAGCAGAGCAUAGACAAACCUUAGGUGUUACACUAUGACACUGCUUUAUAAUGACUGACUUAGUGAGGUCUACAACUGCAGACUAAAACCCAGCCCAUCACUGGAUCAGACCAUGAUCCUGGUUAACUGGACUCAUACUUUGACACAGAACUCCUGUGUGGUCUUUAAUAUUUUAUAUAAUGGUAUAAAUCAUUCAUAAAAUAUUAUGUGGCAAAAUGAGUUAAAAUCGUCAGCAUUUUGUUAUUUACGAUCUUUAUAUGAAAUUGUCAUUGAGAAUUUUAUCCCGAGAUUUAUUUCUCAGGUUUGAUCAUAGAUUGCCACCUAGGACACUCGGCAUAAUUUAUUGAACGUUACAUUGUGUAAACUCCCCCUGGUGUCAGACAACAUCAGCGCAUGUGAUGAACACAUGUCUGGUGGCGUUGAACCCUUUCCAAAGAAGCAAUGUUUGUUUUGUCGCUGCUCCUUUGUGUCGGCACUCCCACAGUCUCGGCAGAGCGUGGCUGUCACAAAGCAUUAGGAAGUAUAAGAGUCAGGAUGUUCCAUUUCAUCUCCUUGACUUCCCCAGUUAGCAGAGGAACCGAGUGGCAGCAGCAGCAGCAGCAGCAGCAGUUGUCUUGACCCCAGCAUCCUGGAGAACAAAGCUCUCUGACGUGAUGUUUUGCCUGAGGGGUCUGCACUUACUCUCUCACAGGCACAUCAUCCCUGAGCAUGUAAAACAAUGAGACACCAGUCAGCUGACAGAGACACUAAGCUGUAGACACUUUGAGUGACAACAGUGCAGUCGCCCCUGAUGUGGGACUCAGUACUAACAGCUACACAGAAGGAGCCCAGAGUCUGGGCUUUUCAGCUCAAGCUGUUGAAGUCUCUGACUACUAUGAGCUGUAAUCAUUUCCUCUAAACAACGACCGUAUGUGGACGGAAUAGCUGUGUGACUUCGAUGCCUUCUCCUUCAUUGAGGAGGCAGUAAGUGAAACGUGCUGGUCACUUUGAUUACCCAGAGUGCUGUUGUAGCCCGGGGUUAAACAGGAGCAGAUGCCCACUUGCAGGGAUGGGUUGGUGACACUCCUCGGCUCUAUUACCUUCUCAAGCAUCGCAGUGUAGUUUUCCCCCUGUGUAAUAAUGAUCCAUGGCAGGACGACAAAUUUAACCCGCUGACCCCAGAGGCAAUUGAAAUUAUAAUCAGGGGAGUUAUUUAAAUUGACCUGAUUCGAUGCUCAGCUGGUAGAAGUGCUCCACUGCUGCUCUGCAUAUGAGCCAUGUGGUUUUUUUUUUCUUGACCAGCCACAGAAUUGAAUCCAGCCUCACCUUGUGUAGUACAAGGAGCAUGGAACUAAAAUAACAGAUAGAAGAAAAAAUGUACGGUACAGUACAAUAUUACACAGUAAAUGUGUCUGGGAAAGGAAGAUUUCAGAUUCGACAGUUGACCACAAGCCUGAAAAAAUCUCUCUCUCUCUCUCUCUCUCUCUCUCUGUCUGUCUUUUAUCUUGGAGUCCUUGUGAUUCAGUGCACUCAGGUGAUACUAGAGAAACAUUAGUUAAUAAAGCAGUAGCAUUAGCAGUUUUGGAUAUGGUACUUUUAUAUUUAAAGCUACUUCACUGUCAGUGCAAUAUAUACCACAAAUAAGCCUUGUCAAACACAGGAUUUAAACCGGCAACUCUCUGAUCACAAGGCAGAGUCUGUAACCACUAGGGGCAACAGUUGACUGUUAUGUUGCCUGUAACACAACCUGCACAACGACUGUGGUUUGAAAUUGUGGUCAGUCACAGAAAACAGAAACAGUGUUGGAGGUGAAUGUGUCAAACAUUGACUUUCUCCGUCUAAAUUCACAGCACGGCCUUGAUUUAGUAAUCCUUCAAUUUACAAGUUUUACAUCAGAGUAUAAAAGUAUAGUAAGUAGUAGCGUAAUGUGAAAAAUGUUCAACCCUGAAGAUGUACUGAACAAAAUACACCAACCUUUUGUACUAGAUUAAAGAAAAACUAUUUUCUAAACCAAUAUUUUCAUCUAAAAAUAAUCUUAUGAUGCCAAAUAAAAAUAGUCAUGUGGUUGACGUUUUGGCUUUUCCUACACCAAAUAUCUAGCGUCCCAAAGGUUCUUCUCCAUCCACCAUGUCUUUUAUUAACAUGUGCCAGGCUGCUAGUUGCUGUGGCUAAAUCUGGGGCAUGUUGAGAGUCAUGUCUAGGAGCCACUUGAAAUGACAAGAUGAGAAUGAGGACCAGUGGUUGACAUAUGGUGCUGAUUAACAGUCAGGUUUACAGGGGUUCUUUAUACACAGGAUAUAAUCAGAGCUACUCCCAGCAUCCUGCCCACUGAACCUCAUCUGGAGCCCUGUGAUUCCCUCCAUGAUGCCUCCGUGGCUCAGAAACUGACAACAUUUGAUCUUUUUCGCUCCAAACAUUGAAAUAAUUUAGUUGACCUUGGUGCGAUUUGAGUUCCUACAAUAUGUAUUUUUCUCCUGUAAACCAGUUAUUUAGUUUUGACAAAACUGAAAAUC
Molecule: long non-coding RNA, 7661 nt
Organism: Cynoglossus semilaevis (tongue sole)
Lineage: Eukaryota; Metazoa; Chordata; Actinopteri; Pleuronectiformes; Cynoglossidae
Exons: 5
Source: RefSeq, a predicted model, not a curated record